Molecule: ribosomal RNA, 414 nt
Filed under: Triticum aestivum (bread wheat)
Lineage: Eukaryota; Viridiplantae; Streptophyta; Magnoliopsida; Poales; Poaceae
Description: partial small subunit ribosomal RNA
Source: RNAcentral
AUGGAAUUGAAAUCUGAUGCACCGCGGAAAAGCGAGUUACUUGCCCUGAGCAAAUAUAACGUUAAUGGUAAGGAUAAAGCAAUUACAGUAAGAAAUGAUUAUCCGGCGCCCCCUGUCCCUUGUUUUGAAAUCACUGAGGAUUUUGAUUUGGAAAAGGUUGAGGAGCUUAUGCUAGAAAGGGACAUUAAGAUCGCCAAGUCCAUGGCAAACGACAUAAUCAUCCCAGACCCUGCUCCAAAGUUUGUGGGUGAUGCCUUCUUGGACAUAUAUGCCGAAUUGGAGCACAUCCUUGUAAAGGAUAGUGUCCGGUGCUUCCUCCGAUUUUUCGAGAACUGUGAAGGCCGGGGCAUAUCAUCUUAUCUUACCAUCACCGCACAAACCUUAACCUUCAUUGUCAGUUUCAACGCCCUGUGA